Molecule: ribosomal RNA, 328 nt
Filed under: uncultured eukaryote
Lineage: Eukaryota
Description: partial 18S ribosomal RNA
Rfam family: Eukaryotic small subunit ribosomal RNA
Source: RNAcentral
CCCUUAGAUGUCCUGGGCCGCACGCGCGUUACACUGAUGCAUUCAACGAGCUUAUAACCUUGGCCAAGAGGCCUGGGCAAUCUUGUUAACGUGCAUCGUGAUAGGGAUAGAUUAUUGAAAUUAUUAAUCUUGAACGAGGAAUUCCUAGUAAACGCAGAUCAUCAAUCUGCAUUGAUUACGUCCCUGCCCUUUGUACACACCGCCCGUCGCACCUACCGAUUGGAUGGUCCGGUGAAGCCUCGGGAUUGUGGUUCUUGCCGCUUUAUUGUGGCGUGACCGCGAGAACUUGUCUAAACCUUAUCAUCUAGAGGAAGGUGAANUCGUAACA